RNAcentral lists this ribosomal RNA (253 nucleotides) under uncultured bacterium. RNAcentral's name for it is "partial 16S ribosomal RNA". It matches the Rfam family "Bacterial small subunit ribosomal RNA", at positions 524 to 776 of the family's 1533-position model. The record is from RNAcentral.
UACGAAGGGGGCUAGCGUUGUUCGGAAUCACUGGGCGUAAAGCGCACGUAGGCGGAUUGGAAAGUCAGAGGUGAAAUCCCGGAGCUCAACUCCGGAACUGCCCUUGAUACUGGCAAUCUCGAGUCCGGAAGAGGUUAGUGGAAUUCCCAGUGUAGAGGUGAAAUUCGUAGAUAUUGGGAAGAACACCAGUGGCGAAGGCGGCUAACUGGUCCGGUACUGACACUGAGGUGCGAAAGCGUGGGGAUCAAACAGG